This 210-nucleotide unclassified non-coding RNA is filed under the name Hevea brasiliensis (rubber tree). The record is from RNAcentral. Lineage: Eukaryota; Viridiplantae; Streptophyta; Magnoliopsida; Malpighiales; Euphorbiaceae.
GGACAGCACAUUGAUCAUGCAGCUUCUCCGUGAUAAUCUGACACUGUGGACUUCUGAGGAGGACGCGAGGGAUGAGGUUAAAGAAGCUCCUAAACUCGACUCAGCUGAGGAGCAAUGAUUUGACUAUCCGAAUUUCUGUAGCGUAGUAUGUAGCUAAAAUGUAUGUUUGGGAGAUUAUGACUUUUGAACUGCUGUGGUGUGUGAAUUUAU